Molecule: long non-coding RNA, 1034 nt
Organism: Peromyscus eremicus (cactus mouse)
Lineage: Eukaryota; Metazoa; Chordata; Mammalia; Rodentia; Cricetidae
Exons: 2
Source: RefSeq, a predicted model, not a curated record
CUCUGAGUUCAAAGCCAGCCUGCUCAACAUAACUAGUUACAGGGCAGCCACAGCUACACAGUGAAACCCUGUGUCAAAUCAAACAAACAAAAGACAAAACAAGAAACAACAAUAAUAACAACAACACUCCUAAAUAAACCUCAUCCGAACCAUGAGGUUGAUGACCCGGAAGUCCUUCUGCAGACCGUGACCCACAAACUUGACUCCAAUAUCAAUGAGAAAACGAAGCUUUAGGUAGGUAGACUUGAGAGUUGUGAGGUGCUUGGAGGAAAUUUUGGCAUCAAGGUCUCCUGGCUUUAUCCCCGAGUACUGAGUCAAGUAAUCUACUACCUAGGGACCGAGAGAAAGACAAAUCACUAGGACAUGAGAAGGUGCGGUCUCUUCCUGCCACUCUCCCCAGGGUUCUCAGACACUCUAUGCAAGCACAGACUUGGCCUCAGUGGCCCCUUCAUACCUGCUCCUGAGUAGAGAUGUAGUCAUCAAUGAAGGGAAUACCCUCAUUAGGCCCUUGGCCCCGAACACAGGUGAUCCUUGCUACUGACAUCUGGCUUGGUUUAAUGGUAGACUUGGUACCAUCACUGCGUAACUCUGCUUCUUCCUAUGUCACAAGAGUCAGUAUGGACACCAGAGAAUACUCAGAAUUCCCGAUCUCCUCAGAGUUCUGUCCCUCGGCCCCGUCCUUUUGGCUGUGUACCUCAUUCAGAGUGACAAACUCGGCAUCGAGGCCCACCAGGUCCCCAACCUGUGGCAUCUCAUUCAGCAUCAGGGGAAUGAAGCUUACAAAAUCCAGAAAAACAAAGCUACAGAGAAACUACUGUUUAAGGGGACCAAACUGGCACUUCCGAGGGAGCCCGACCCCUAAGAAGAGAUACCACUGGGGAUAACGGCUGGCGUGGGGCCGGCUGGCAGGCGCAGUGGGUAAAGCACUCGCUCCGCAAGCCUGAAGGGAGAACUGAUGCCUCCAAGUUGUCCCUUGGCCUCUACACACCCAGUAACAACAGAUAAACACUGUAAUAAAUGGCAUUGAAAAAGGA